AAAUGGAGGGCUCAGUGGUAGAGUGCCUGCCUAGCAUGCAGGAAGCCCUGGGUUCCAUUUC
This 61-nucleotide transfer RNA is filed under the name Dipodomys ordii (Ord's kangaroo rat). It matches the Rfam family "tRNA". Rfam says of the family: Transfer RNA (tRNA) molecules are approximately 80 nucleotides in length. Their secondary structure includes four short double-helical elements and three loops (D, anti-codon, and T loops). The record is from Rfam by way of RNAcentral. Lineage: Eukaryota; Metazoa; Chordata; Mammalia; Rodentia; Heteromyidae.